UAAGAAGAAAAUUUAGGUGCAAGCAUCGUGU
This 31-nucleotide non-coding RNA is filed under the name Mus musculus (house mouse). Lineage: Eukaryota; Metazoa; Chordata; Mammalia; Rodentia; Muridae. The record is from RNAcentral.